RNAcentral lists this transfer RNA (70 nucleotides) under Polistes jokahamae. RNAcentral describes it as "tRNA-Arg". The record is from RNAcentral. Lineage: Eukaryota; Metazoa; Arthropoda; Insecta; Hymenoptera; Vespidae.
UAAUAUGAAAGAACAUUUUCUAAUUUAAUUUCGACUUAAACUUAUGAUUAAAUUAAUUAAUCCAUAUUAA